AUGGUGAGAAGACGAGGCUUCUUCAAGGCGAGGGGACUCUGCACCUGCUCCUCGUCCUCCGACAUCAUUUUGUCCUUGGCACACCACCGUCACAUGAACUCUGACACCAUCGGGAUGUUCAGGUCGAAGGCCCGAGCGGCGAAGCUCUCAUUCCUAGUGCUCCCCACCUCAGACUCGGCCUGUCGAGAGCCUGUCUAG
This 198-nucleotide ribosomal RNA is filed under the name Triticum aestivum (bread wheat). RNAcentral's name for it is "partial small subunit ribosomal RNA". Lineage: Eukaryota; Viridiplantae; Streptophyta; Magnoliopsida; Poales; Poaceae. The record is from RNAcentral.